Molecule: ribosomal RNA, 581 nt
Filed under: Pseudanthias tuka (yellowstriped fairy basslet)
Lineage: Eukaryota; Metazoa; Chordata; Actinopteri; Perciformes; Anthiadidae
Description: partial 16S ribosomal RNA
Rfam family: Bacterial large subunit ribosomal RNA
Source: RNAcentral
CGCCUCUCGUAACCUAAAAAUGAGAGGUCCCGCCUGCCCUGUGACUCUAAGUUUAACGGCCGCGGUAUCCUGACCGUGCAAAGGUAGCGCAAUCACUUGUCUCUUAAAUAGAGACCUGUAUGAAUGGCAUAACGAGGGCUUGACUGUCUCCUUUCUCAAGUCAAUGAAAUUGAUCUUCCCGUGCAGAAGCGGGAAUAACCACAUAAGACGAGAAGACCCUAUGGAGCUUUAGACGUAAGAACAGACCCUGCUGAAUAACCCUACAAAGGAGAAUUAAGGUAUAGGACCUCCCUGCUCAGCGUCUUUGGUUGGGGCGACCGCGGAGAAAAAUCAAACCUCCGUGUGGGCCGGGAGUGUUUUACCUUCCUCCUAAAACCGAGAGCUACAGCUCUAAGCAACAAAAAUCUUGACCAAUCAGAUCCGGCAGAGCCGAUCAGCGGACCGAGUUACCCUAGGGAUAACAGCGCAAUCCUCUUCUAGAGCCCAUAUCGACAAGAGGGUUUACGACCUCGAUGUUGGAUCAGGACAUCCUGAUGGUGCAGCCGCUAUCAAGGGUUCGUUUGUUCAACGAUUAAAGUCCU